This 67-nucleotide transfer RNA is filed under the name Sipunculus nudus (marine worm). Its description in RNAcentral is "tRNA-Asn". Lineage: Eukaryota; Metazoa; Annelida; Sipuncula; Golfingiida; Sipunculidae. The record is from RNAcentral.
UAAGUGGAAGCUAAUAAGCACCUAUCUGUUAAUUAGGCUCCUGCUGCGCACAUAGCAGCCCACUUAG